AUGGGAACGACUGUAAACAGAAAUGUACUAGGCAUCUUGAUCAACAAGAGCCUCAAGUAUGGAGUGGUAGACGUUAAGAGUCGGAUUAUCUUGGUCAAGCUGAUAGUUGGGGACUUAGUUCUCAAUGUUAUCAGCGCGUAUGCCCUCAAGUAUGGAGUGGUAGAUGUCAAUAGUCAGAUUAUCUUGGUCAAGCUGGUAGUUGAGGACUUGGUUAUCAAUGUUAUCAGCGCGUACGCUCCACAAGUAGGCCACAUGAGAACACCAAGAGGGAGCUCUGGGAAGGACUGGAGGACAUGGUUAGGAGUGUACCUAUUGGCGAGAAGCUCUUCAUAG
RNAcentral lists this ribosomal RNA (333 nucleotides) under Triticum aestivum (bread wheat). Its description in RNAcentral is "partial small subunit ribosomal RNA". The record is from RNAcentral. Lineage: Eukaryota; Viridiplantae; Streptophyta; Magnoliopsida; Poales; Poaceae.